This 1334-nucleotide ribosomal RNA is filed under the name Provitellus chaometra. RNAcentral's name for it is "partial 28S large subunit ribosomal RNA". It matches the Rfam family "Eukaryotic large subunit ribosomal RNA", at positions 34 to 962 of the family's 3401-position model. Lineage: Eukaryota; Metazoa; Platyhelminthes; Trematoda; Plagiorchiida; Monorchiidae. The record is from RNAcentral.
UUAAGCAUAUCACUAAGCGGAGGAAAAGAAACUAACCAGGAUUCCCUUAGUAAUGGCGAAUGAACAGGGAAAAGCCCAGCACCGAAGCCUGUGGUCGUUUGAUCACUAGGCAAUGUGGUGUUCAGGUCGAAUCGCGGGAGUGCUGUCUCUCUCCAAGUCCGACAAUGAGUACGGUAUUUUGGACAUGGCCCAUAGAGGGUGAAAGGCCCGUGGGGGAGAGAUUCAUGAUGGUCAGUGCUUCCCUGAUAAGACCUUGGAGUCGGGUUGUUUGAGAAUGCAGCCCAAAGUGGGUGGUAAACUCCAUCCAAGGCUAAAUACUAACACGAGUCCGAUAGCAAACAAGUACCGUGAGGGAAAGUUGAAAAGUACUUUGAAGAGAGAGUAAACAGUGCGUGAAACCGCUCAGAGGUAAACGGGUGGAGUUGAACUGCGUGCUCGGAGAAUUCAGCUGGUGAUUGUGACAUGGUCUUGGCCAUCUUGGUUGAACUGCGGGGUCUGCGUAGCAGCAGGUUUUUGCCUUCGGGUGAGAAUGCGCGAUUCACUUAUCAAGUGAUGUGCGCCCUGUUUGUUUUUCGGAUCGGUUGCCAGUGCACUUUCUCAGAGCGUUCACCACGACCGGCACUGCUGUCUGGCUGUCGCGGUUAAACCGGUUCGGUAUUGUCCUUGUGGCUUUGCUGGAUCGGGAUGGCAGGUAGCUUGUUGGCCUUCCUUCGGGUUGGCUUUCGGGUGUAAUCAGCUGACCAUGAUAGUUCUGUGCAGUGUGUCGGAGGCGGCGGCUUGUGGUGUGUGCAGGUGUUGUUGUUUGCCGGCGUUUUCGGGUUUGGUUACCAUGUUGCCUGUGCAAGCAGGCCUGGUGAUGGCUCGGAAUCGUUCGGUGGGUGGCAGCAUUUGUGACAUCAAUACAGGGCCUAAAGUCUGUGGUGUUGUGGUAGACUAUCCACCUGACCCGUCUUGAAACACGGACCAAGGAGAGUAACAUGUGCGCGAGUCAUUGGGCGUAACGAAACCCAAAGGCGCAGUGAAAGUGAAGGUUUGGCUUGUCCAGACUGAGGUGAGAUCCCGUCGUUCCUCACACGUGAUACCUCCAAGUAGUGAGCGGCGGGCGCAUCACCGGCCCGUCCCAUGACGUAGACGUGGUUUUCGGAUCAUGCACCGUCGGGGCGGAGCAUGAGCGUACAUGUUGAGACCCGAAAGAUGGUGAACUAUGCUUGCGCAGGUUGAAGCCAGAGGAAACUCUGGUGGAGGACCGCAGCGAUUCUGACGUGCAAAUCGAUCGUCAAACGUGAGUAUAGGGGCGAAAGACUAAUCGAACCAUCUAGUAGCUGGUUCCCUCC